UAAAUGUGACUGUUAUGUCCUGCGAGGUUACUAGAUUCGCCGAUGAUGACACCUCGUGGACAAGUGGGUUGUUUAUUGUCACGCGGGAUUUUAUUUUAUAAUUUAAUUUGAAAUAUACUUAAAAAUGACUGAUUUAGAUUGUGUGGCAAGGUAUGAUUUUAAAUGAUAAGAAUUCAAUUGAACUUAAUGUUGAUGUUUAUUUAGAAAUCGGAGAGAUGGAGUGAAUAGUUACAGCUCUCGGGGAGAAGUGAAGUCACAAAGUCUCAACUCUGACUGCUCAGCUUCACGUUCCCCCACUAUGGUUACACGUAUACACCUAUACUAUUGCUAGAACUACCCUUAUACAUAGUGCGUAAUAUACUAUCUUACAUGUACUUAUAUAAACUUAUUUAUUUAUAACACUUAUUAUUUUCGGCUGCGGCCGGCUUACAUAUUCAUGUACCUGUAUUUACCUGGCUUUAAAUUCAGCACAGCGACCUAGGGAAACCGCAGAAAACCUGGUCGAGGCUUUUAAGGUAUUAUCUGCUCAAUAAAUUAUAUCAGAUGCGGAA
Molecule: long non-coding RNA, 551 nt
Filed under: Cotesia glomerata
Lineage: Eukaryota; Metazoa; Arthropoda; Insecta; Hymenoptera; Braconidae
Description: uncharacterized LOC123271357
Source: RNAcentral